AAUAGAUACCCCGGUAGUCCACGCCCUAAACGAUGAUAACUCGAUGUUAGCGAUAUACCGUUAGCGUCCAAGCGAAAGCGUUAAGUUAUCCACCUGGGGAGUACGCCCGCAAGGGUGAAACUCAAAGGAAUUGACGGGGGCCCGCACAAGCGGAGGAGCAUGUGGUUUAAUUCGAUGAUACGCGAGGAACCUUACCCGGGCUUGAAAGUUACUGAAGAAUGCAGAGACGCAUUCGUCCUUCGGGACAGGAAACUAGGUGCUGCAUGGCUGUCGUCAGCUCGUGCCGUGAGGUGUUGGGUUAAGUCCCGCAACGAGCGCAACCCUAUGUUUAGUUGCCAGCACGUUAAGGUGGGGACGUCUGGACAGACUGCCUGCGUAAGCAGAGAGGAAGGUGGGGACGACGUCAAGUCAUCAUGGCCCUUACGUCCGGGGCUACACACGUGCUACAAUGGACGGUACAGCGGGCAGCUACACAGCAAUGUGAUGCUAAUCUCGAAAAGCCGUUCACAGUUCGGAUCGGGGUCUGCAACUCGACCCCGUG
RNAcentral lists this ribosomal RNA (541 nucleotides) under uncultured bacterium. Its description in RNAcentral is "bacterial SSU rRNA". It matches the Rfam family "Bacterial small subunit ribosomal RNA", at positions 777 to 1322 of the family's 1533-position model. The record is from RNAcentral.